Molecule: long non-coding RNA, 4559 nt
Filed under: Homo sapiens (human)
Lineage: Eukaryota; Metazoa; Chordata; Mammalia; Primates; Hominidae
Description: HSALNT0343606
Source: RNAcentral
CGUUUACUGGAGAGCUGCUUGUGAAUUGCAGCCACCUGUUGAGGGAGCCAAACAGCUUCAAGCAGGGCUAAAAUUUCUUCUUUGUUGUUGACACUCUUUCCUGCUGAGGUGAGUAGCCCUCGCUCUUGAUAGAUGGCUCUGUGUACAUGUACAGUAGCAAAAGCAUACCUGCUGUCAGUGUAGAUGUUAAUACAUUUGUCUUUACCCUAUUGGAGGGCCUGAGUCAGGGUUACCAACUCAGUCCUCUGUGCCAAGGUACCUGCCGGCAGUGCCUGGGCCUACAGUACAUCUGUCUCCAUAGUAAUGGCCACACCAGCCUUCUGUACUCCCUGUUCAAGGAAGCUGCUACCAUCUGUAAACACGGUGGCAUCCACCUCCUUUAGAGGCACAUCUUGGAGAUGAGGUCAGCCAGUUUCCAUAGUUUCUAACAGUUCUUGGCAGUCAUGGACAGGUGUGGUAAGGUCUGGAUCAGGGAACAAGGUAGCUGGAUUUAAACACCUUGUGGGAGAGAAAGUUAAACGCGGCUGAUCUAACAGUAAACUCUGAUACCGCAAGAUGCGAGCAUUCGACAUCCAUUUGCCAGAAGCACUUUGUAGCAAGGUCUCUACAGCAUGAGGAGCCGUAAGGGUUAAAUUCUGGCCCAGAGUCAGUUUAUCAGCCUCCUGGACCUGGCUUGCUGUUGCCACUAUGGCUCACAGACAACUUGGCCACCCAGAGGCCACAGGGUCCAGUCUCUUAGACAAAUAGGCCACUGGGUGUUGCCAUGGCCCUAAAGUCUGAGUAAGUACCCCUUUAGCGACUCCUUGGUUUUCAUGAACAAAAAGGUGAAAUGGUUUUGAGAUAUUUGGGAGGGCAAGAGCAGGGGCCUCAGUUAGUGCCUUCUUCAGAUUUUGAAAAGCCUGUUCUUCUUUGUCAGUCCAAACCAGCGGGGUAUUCCCUCCAGUAGUGGUGUACAGGGGUUUGGCAAUUUCCAUGAACCCCAAUAUCUAUAGGCGACCAUAUCCCACGGUGCCCAGGAAUUCAUGUACCUGUCUCUUAGUGGUGGGAGUGGGGAUUUGAAGGAUGGCUGCCUUUCGAGCACUGGUGAGUGCCCUUUUUCCUUCAUUUGUCUCAUACCCUAGGUAGGAAAUGCUGGGAAGAAAAAGCUGGGCCUUCUUGGCUGGGACCUGAUACCCGAAUUCCUGAAGGAGUCCUGUACAGGCUGGUAAUCAUUUGUUCCGGGUUUCUGGACCGGCAAAAAUGGAAUAUUCCAGGCGAUCUCACAUGGUGUGAGUAUACCAGCUUGUAAUAGUUGCUGAAUAUGAGGAUUAAUUCCCUCUAUAGCCCACAGAAUCAUAGGAUAUUGUUUGACCUGGACCGGCAGGGUGGUGGCCAGGAGUUCUACAACAGCUGGCAGAUGGUGGUUUGCCAGUCCUGGGAGGUAUGAGGAAACAGAGUCUGUAAAGCCAGUAGGAGAGGAUUACUUUUAUUCUCCGGCAGUUGUGAGGGUGAAACUAAGAGAUAUUCCUCUGACCGAAGGGUGGUUAGCAGGAGCUGAGCAGUAGGGGGCAUUGUGUCCCCUAACAUGAGGUGAGUUUGUUGGGCCGAGAAGGAGAUGGACGCCUGUAGCUUAUGAAGCAGGUCUCAUCCGAGGAGGGAGAAGGGGCACUCUGGGACCACGAGGAACAAGUGGGUUACUCUUUUCUGUCCUAAACUCACCUCUCGUGAGUGGGUGACAGGAUAUUCCUGAAUAGCUCCAGUAGCCCUUUACUCAGCAACCUUUUUAUUAGACACUGCCUAAGGGUGUCUGGAGUACUGAGUGUUCCACCCCGGUGUCAAUUAGGAAGCGUACAGGCUGGCCCCCCACUGUGGUGGUCACCAUGGGUUCCCGGGGCCAAGUGACAAAGAGCCCUGGCCCCGUCAAUCAUCAGAUUCCUCUGCUGCGGGGCAGGGUGAGGACCUUUUUCUUUUCUGGUUUCUCCUCUGGCUUUAAUGGGCAUUCCUUUCUCCAGUGUCCAAUCUGCUUGCAAGAAGCACAUUGGUUUCUUUAUAGGGGAGUCCUCUCACGUUUCUGGCCUUCCUGGUGGGGACUCGGGGUCCCCUGGUCAGUGCUCUGUGAUGGGGGCCCUUCCUUUUUGGCUUCUUGGAUGGCAGCCACUAAGCUUUUUGCCUGUCUUUUUGAUGCUUUGUCUGCAGCCCUUUCAGCUGCCUGAGCUACCUGUUUUUGCUUUUCAAAUUCUCGAUUGUCGAAAACUCUCUGGGCUAUCUCUAAAAGCUGGCUGAUGUAAGGAAAUACUUUCUGGCUUCUCUUCAGAUAUGGUCCCUCUCUUCAGAGGUGAAAAGGGAUGAAAGGAGUUGCUGACACUCAUCCCAGGUGGGCCGGUGAGUCUGGAGCACAGACUCCAUCAGUGAGGUUAAGACCUGGGGCUUUUCAGAAAAGGGGGGAUUAUGAGCCUUCCAGUUGUACAGGUCAGAAGUAGAGAAGGGGACAUAAACUAAAAAUGGAGCACAACGCCCACUGCCCAAAGGGAUUUGGGCCUCUGUCAGUGGGAGGAGCGGGGCCACCUCCUCCGGCUGAGGCCAUAAUUGGGAGGAUAUAGGCAGAGAGGCCACAGAGGAUGUAGUUGAGGAGACAAGGGAAGAUUCUGGGGGAGGAGGAGGGUUAUAGGGUGGUGGAAAUGGGUGAAGAAAACUUUCCUCUUCUUCAGAAGGAGGCAGUACAGGAGGAAUCGAGGGAGCUGAGGGUGGAGGCAAAAGUGAGGUCUGGCUAAAAAGGACCUUGGAGGUAGGAUCACGAAUGGCUACAGAGUUUUAUCACGAGUGGAGCCAUGAAGGAGAGCUCUGGACUAAAUCUAGCCAUUGAUCAAUGUAGGGAAACUGAUCGGGGUGACCGGGAGUUCCAACAACGACCCACCACACAGCCUGAACAGCUGUGAAGUGUAGUGACCCGUCUGGGGGCCACCCAGUUCCAAACUUUGGCCAUUCUACUUCGCAGAGUGUCCAGAGUUUGCCUUUUUUAAGGCGGACCCCGUAAUCAUCUGAGAAGCCUAGAGAGAAAUUCUGCAACAUACACUGGAGAGGACUCCAAUCUUUAUGGGGCCGGGAAGAAGAGUUUACUAUUCUGGAGGCAAUUAACAAGGUUUGAACAAAAAUAUUAAACCCAGCAUGGACAAAGAUAUUCACGGCCUGGGAGGCUAUGGUAUCAGAAGAACAGAAGUAUUAUAGCUAGAAGAAGUAGGAAAACAACUAUAGCCAAUAUUUCUUGCCACAUAAGGUCUGUCUCCUCAAGCUUCGAGAUCUAUGGAGAGGAUAAGAGGUGGGUCCAAGGGAUCCUCAGCCAGUGGGACUUAGGUGACCCCCCCUUCUUGACUUAUAUCCCAAAUAACUUUGGUGUCUCCACGACUCGAAAGCAAAAUGUUCAAACUCGGUCCUUUCCUUCACGGGUUUAAGGAGGGAGAACACAGCCAAGUCUUAGAGACGCUGGACUUGCUGCAACACAGGAAAAUGAGAUGUGCAGGGUAAGGGAUGGGGAUGAGGAGGAAAGGGGCCACUUGGAUUUCCCUAAAGGUUGGAGAGUAGCCAAAAGAGGUAAAAUAAGAGUCCAGACAGAGUAGAGCAGUAUGGGUGUAGGUUUCUCUGCACAGUGCCUUAUUUAAGGGCAUGGGAAAAGUUAUGGGAUGACAGAAAAGGUGAGUAAGGAGGUCAGCAGGGUGGCUAUUUUGGAUCCACCACUGGUCUAAGGAGAAGGUGGACCAGUCGUUGGGGCGUGGGGUAUGGCAAUCCAAACGCCAGCAAUCUUUAUGGUGCCAGAAAUCCUAAACGGGUGAAUGUCUUCCACACCCUUCCCCAUAACAACACCUAAUUUGUUUCUGACAGGAAAGGCAGGACUGGGAUGGCCAGCCCAACCGACUAAUGAGGAAUUUGACCUCCUGGGAUAGAAAAUCUGUACUAAGGACCUUGAAGAAGUCCUUGCCCAGUCAUUUUGGGCAGUAUCGACGAUCCGACAUAUGAAAUUUAGACAGACACUAAACAGGACAAUAGGCACUGGGGUAUAUAAACAAGCAUGGCAAUUUUUAUAGACAGACAAGGGGAGGGGGUCCCGUGAUGGGAUCAGUCAGAUGCCCUCCUGGCUGCUCCCCUUUCGGGGACUUAGGCUCCUCUUGGCAUUGGCAGGCUGGUAUAAACCCCUGGCUUGGAUCGAGCUAUGCCUGAUGCCGCCCUAAGCCUUAUGAGGUCACCACGGAACCACAGGUGAGGGCCUUCUCGAAUUCCCUAGCUUUCACCCUGGAGCUACAAACUGGAAAUUCAAGCGCAAGCCCUUGAACUCCACAUUCACUCACUCACUCACUCACUCAGAGUUUAUUACAAUUUUUAUACCCAUUCUAAAACAGAGAUCUCCCGGAGACCUGAAUGAGAGAGGGAGAAGAGAUAGAGAGAGAGAGAGACUAGACUUAACAGAGAAUCCUGACAGAAACCAGGACUCUGUCCUCCAGUGUCCUGGAGCAUGGACAGAGUCUGAGGGAGGACCUUCGUCAGGGCCGUUUCCCUCCCAGAGAGACAGAGUCAGAUCUGACUUACCU